This 275-nucleotide unclassified non-coding RNA is filed under the name Hevea brasiliensis (rubber tree). The record is from RNAcentral. Lineage: Eukaryota; Viridiplantae; Streptophyta; Magnoliopsida; Malpighiales; Euphorbiaceae.
UAAGCAAAUUAUGAGUAAAGGCUUGUAUAUAUGCAUACAAGGUUAUUCCUCUGAGCCAUCUCGAAUAAUUGAUCUACACACCCGAAUGCAACUUGCCUCCCUCUCCGAACAGGUGAGAAUAUUAUACUUCCCCAGCUUUUACUCGUGCACGGGCUGUUUCUUUUUGCUGUUCUUCCUUGUCUUUCACCAUAGCCUAAUGCUUCGCUCUACUGGAAGGCAGAGAUGUAAAGUCCAAUAUGUAUAAGGCUAUCAUGAAUUUGCACAUUUUGAUAGAA